RNAcentral lists this ribosomal RNA (373 nucleotides) under uncultured bacterium. Its description in RNAcentral is "bacterial SSU rRNA". It matches the Rfam family "Bacterial small subunit ribosomal RNA", at positions 527 to 898 of the family's 1533-position model. The record is from RNAcentral.
GGGGGGGGCAAGCGUUGUUCGGAAUUACUGGGCGUAAAGGGCUCGUAGGCGGCCAACUAAGUCAGACGUGAAAUCCCUCGGCUUAACCGGGGAACUGCGUCUGAUACUGGUUGGCUGGAGUUUGGGAGAGGGAUGCGGAAUUCCAGGUGUAGCGGUGAAAUGCGUAGAUAUCUGGAGGAACACCGGUGGCGAAGGCGGCAUCCUGGACCAAUACUGACGCUGAGGAGCGAAAGCCAGGGGAGCAAACGGGAUUAGAUACCCCGGUAGUCCUGGCCCUAAACGAUGAAUGCUUGGUGUGGCGGGUAUCGAUCCCUGCCGUGCCGAAGCUAACGCAUUAAGCAUUCCGCCUGGGGAGUACGGUCGCAAGGCUGAA